UCCUACGGGACGCAGCAGUGAGGAAUAUUGGUCAAUGGUCGGGAGACUGAACCAGCCAAGCCGCGUGAGGGAUGAAGGUACAGAGUAUCGUAAACCUCUUUUGUCAGGGAACAAAGGCGGGGACGUGUCCCCGGAUGAGUGUACCUGAAGAAAAAGCAUCGGCUAACUCCGUGCCAGCAGCGGCGGUAAUACGGAGGAUGCGAGCGUUAUCCGGAUUUAUUGGGUUUAAAGGGUGCGCAGGCGGUCUGUUAAGUCAGCGGUCCAAGCCCGGGGCUCAACCCCGGCCCGCCGUUGAAACUGGCAGU
This 305-nucleotide ribosomal RNA is filed under the name uncultured bacterium. RNAcentral describes it as "bacterial SSU rRNA". It matches the Rfam family "Bacterial small subunit ribosomal RNA", at positions 337 to 640 of the family's 1533-position model. The record is from RNAcentral.